AAUGGCUGACCUCCUGUUGGUUUGAGGUCAUGAUAUCAGGCGACUUUUUUGUAAUGGGCAUGCUAUAUAUGUGGCCCGGAUUUCAUCCAGGCACAACACCGCUAAGCCCAAUGGGGGAUGUCAAUGUCAAUUUUAUUUCUAUAGCUCAUUUAAAACCAACAAGGUUGACCAGAGUGGUUUACAAAUAACUUUUAAAACAAACAAGAUAAAAGCAUAGAUAAAUAAAAUAAGUAUAAUAAAAUAUGACAGCAGAUUUUUAAAAAAGGCUAAAAACAAGAUUAAACAAAAAGACACAUUAACAUAAAAUGACCUGAUGGGAGUCAAGCUGUACUCGAAUUAAAAGCCAAGGUAAAAGGGUGGGUUUUAAGAUGUGAUUUAAAUGAUCGUAUAGACUGCAGUGCAAAUAUAGAGUGGUAAACUUUUCCACAGUCCAGGAGCAGCCACUGCAAAAGCCUGAUCCCCUCUAUGCUUUAAUUUACUCCUUGGUUGCUCUAAGAGCAUCUGACUAGAGGAUCGCGGUGCUCUUUUGGGGUUGUAAAAGUCGAGCAGCUUGGUUAAAUAACUAGGUGCUAAACUGUUUAAAACCUUAAAAGUGAGUAAAAGAAUCUUAAAAUCAAUAUGGAAUCAACAUAGGGAUCACUUUUGAAUGUUGCCUUCACAUGGUUCGUUCUCGGGACCUAAUAGUCAGAGCAAUUCCAAUUGGGCCUUUGCACGCUUUCAUGCUUGGGCCCUAAGAAGAAAAGUAACAUGUAAUGAUAGAAGUAAUCUAAUAUUAGAGAUAACAGUAAAAGUCAUCUGUAAUAUAAAAGCAAUGCAGAAGUAAUAGCAAUCCAAAAUAAAAGUCAAAAUGUUAAAAAUCAAAAAUGUCAUAGUAUAGUAAAGCAUGAAAAUGUUUUGUUUGAGCUGAAAUGUUGAAUAUUUAUCUGAGUUUGUUUCUCUUUGAUUUCCUCCAGGUGUCACCACUUCUUCCACGACAUCGUCCACAAUCGCGGAGACAUGGUCCAUGAUCGGAGAGACAUUGUUGAGGAUGAGGGAGACAUCGUCCACGAUCAGAGACAUUGUCCAUGAUCGCAGAGACCUUGUCAAAGAUGAGAGAGACGUUGUCCAUGAUCAGAGACAUUGUCCAUGCUUCGUAGAGACCUUGCGAUAGAAUCGGCGGAGACGGGGGUCACCGAUUUGACGGCAUUGCCCGCGAUCAGGGACAUUGUCGAUGGCCACAGAGACACCGUCUAUGAUCUCAGAGACAUCGUCCACGAUCACAAAGACAUAGUCCAUGAUUGCUGAGACAUUGUCCAUAAUCUCAGAGACAUUGUCCGCGAUCACAGAGACAUAGUCCAAUAUCACAGAGAGACUUUUUAGAAUGAAGAAGUUCUUGCAGACCAAGACAGAGGCCUCCAGGUGUCACCACUUCUUCCACGACAUCGUCCACAAUCGCAGAGACAUGGUCCAUGAUCGGAGAGACAUUGUUGAGGAUGAGGGAGACAUCGUCCACGAUCAGAGACAUUGUCCAUGAUCGCAGAGACCUUGUCAAAGAUGAGAGAGACGUUGUCCAUGAUCAGAGACAUUGUCCAUGCUUCGUAGAGACCUUGCGAUAGAAUCGGCGGAGACGGGGGUCACCGAUUUGACGGCAUUGCCCGCGAUCAGGGACAUUGUCGAUGGCCACAGAGACACCGUCUAUGAUCUCAGAGACAUCGUCCACGAUCACGAAGACAUAGUCCAUGAUUGCUGAGACAUUGUCCAUAAUCUCAGAGACAUUGUCCGCGAUCACAGAGACAUAGUCCAAUAUCACAGAGAGACUUUUUAGAAUGAAGAAGUUCUUGCAGACCAAGACAGAGGCCUCCAGGUGUCACCACUUCUUCCACGACAUCGUCCACAAUCGCAGAGACAUGGUCCAUGAUCGGAGAGACAUUGUUGAGGAUGAGGGAGACAUCGUCCACGAUCAGAGACAUUGUCCAUGAUCGCAGAGACCUUGUCAAAGAUGAGAGAGACGUUGUCCAUGAUCAGAGACAUUGUCCAUGCUUCGUAGAGACCUUGCGAUAGAAUCGGCGGAGACGGGGGUCACCGAUUUGACGGCAUUGCCCGCGAUCAGGGACAUUGUCGAUGGCCACAGAGACACCGUCUAUGAUCUCAGAGACAUCGUCCACGAUCACAAAGACAUAGUCCACGAUUGCUGAGACAUUGUCCAUAAUCUCAGAGACAUUGUCCGCGAUCACAGAGGCAUAGUCCAAUAUCAUAGAGAGACUUUUUAGAAUGAAGAAGUUCUUGCAGACCAAGACAGAGGCCUCCAGGUAAUUCAUAAACAGCUUUACAUCAACUGUCUGACACAGAGCACUGUUUAGUAAGGUGUCAAAAACCAUCAUAAGAUGUCAUAGUAUAUAGUAAGGUGUGAAAAAAUGACAUAGGAUAGUAAGGUGUCAAAAAAUGUCAUAGUAUAGUGUGGCAUCAAGAAAUGUAAAAAAAUGUCAUAGUAUGGUAUGGUGCCAAAGGCUGAAAUGUGAAUUAAUGAUUAUGUAUGUGGCCGUCUGUGGUGGAAGAAAUACUGAAGUAUAAUAAACAACACAAGUUAAAAUCCUGCAUUCAAAGAUUUACUGAACUGACAGUGUUUAUUAUUGUUGUGCAGUUCACAGUAACCUAAAUCAUUGCUUCAGUGAUUAGUUGAUAGACACAUAAUUAAUAAUCAUUUUACUUUUUCCCGAGUAUUUGUUGUUGAUUCUUCAGGAGGUGGUGAUAAUCAGUGGUUAAUUUUCUGAAACAGCCCUCCAGUGUUUGGAAAAUGUUCUGGUUCAGCUAUAAUGUUGAAUAUUUAUCUGUGUUUUCAUGGUUAAACUGAUGAGGAGGAAUAGGAGGUAGUUUAUUUAUCAUUUUCCUUUGUAUGUUUCUCUUUGAUUUCCUCCAGGUGUCACCACUUUAUCGUCCAUGA
Molecule: long non-coding RNA, 2920 nt
Organism: Lates calcarifer (barramundi perch)
Lineage: Eukaryota; Metazoa; Chordata; Actinopteri; Centropomidae
Exons: 3
Source: RefSeq, a predicted model, not a curated record